This 346-nucleotide ribosomal RNA is filed under the name uncultured bacterium. RNAcentral describes it as "partial 16S ribosomal RNA". It matches the Rfam family "Bacterial small subunit ribosomal RNA", at positions 338 to 681 of the family's 1533-position model. The record is from RNAcentral.
CCUACGGGAGACAGCAGUGAGGAAUAUUGGUCAAUGGGCGCGAGCCUGAACCAGCCAUGCCGCGUGAAGGGCAGAGGCCUACGGGCGUUAAACUUCUUUUGUGCGGGAGCAAGAAUGGUCACGUGUGGCCAGACGAGAGUACCGUACGAAUAAGCAUCGGCUAACUCCGUGCCAGCAGCCGCGGUAAUACGGGGGAUGCAAGAGUUAGCCGGAUUUAUUGGGUUUAAAGGGUGCGGAGGCUGGGAGGUAAGUCAGCGGUGAAAUGCCCCCGCUCAACGGGGUGAAGUGCCAUUGAUACUGCCUUGCUGGACUGCGGCUGCCGUGGGCGGAAUGUGUGGUGUAGCGG